RNAcentral lists this unclassified non-coding RNA (572 nucleotides) under Colletotrichum sp. AU-2016. Its description in RNAcentral is "sequence contains ITS1, 5.8S rRNA gene and ITS2". The stretch from base 159 to 312 matches the Rfam family "5.8S ribosomal RNA". The record is from RNAcentral. Lineage: Eukaryota; Fungi; Ascomycota; Sordariomycetes; Glomerellales; Glomerellaceae.
UACGGCGGCGGACGCAGCGCAAAUCAACCCUGUAAACAUACCUAAACGUUGCCUCGGCGGGAACAGACGGCCCCGUGAAAACGGGCCGCCCCCGCCAGAGGACCCCCUAACUCUGUUUCUAUAAUGUUUCUUCUGAGUAAAACAAGCAAAUAAAUUAAAACUUUCAACAACGGAUCUCUUGGCUCUGGCAUCGAUGAAGAACGCAGCGAAAUGCGAUAAGUAAUGUGAAUUGCAGAAUUCAGUGAAUCAUCGAAUCUUUGAACGCACAUUGCGCCCGCCAGUAUUCUGGCGGGCAUGCCUGUUCGAGCGUCAUUACAACCCUCAGGCCCCCGGGCCUGGCGUUGGGGAUCGGCGGAGGCCCUCCGUGGGCACACGCCGUCCCCCAAAUACAGUGGCGGUCCCGCCGCAGCUUCCAUCGCGUAGUAGCUAACACCUCGCGACUGGAGAGCGGCGCGGCCACGCCGUAAAACCCCCAACUCUUCUGAAGUUGACCUCGAAUCAGGUAGGAAUACCCGCUGAACUUCCCCCUAUCAACAAGCCGGAGGCAAAAUUGCAAAAAAAACCAAAGCCAA